CGGACGGGUGAGUAACACGUGGAUAACUUACCUAUAAGACUGGGAUAACUUCGGGAAACCGGAGCUAAUACCGGAUAAUAUAUUGAACCGCAUGGUUCAAUAGUGAAAGACGGUUUUGCUGUCACUUAUAGAUGGAUCCGCGCCGCAUUAGCUAGUUGGUAAGGUAACGGCUUACCAAGGCAACGAUGCGUAGCCGACCUGAGAGGGUGAUCGGCCACACUGGAACUGAGACACGGUCCAGACUCCUACGGGAGGCAGCAGCC
Molecule: ribosomal RNA, 263 nt
Filed under: uncultured Staphylococcus sp.
Lineage: Bacteria; Bacillati; Bacillota; Bacilli; Caryophanales; Staphylococcaceae
Description: partial 16S ribosomal RNA
Rfam family: Bacterial small subunit ribosomal RNA
Source: RNAcentral